CUCCUUCCGGCCGGCACGCCCCGGACGUGACCUCGCGGGCGCGCGCCGGAGCCGCCCUGGGGGAGGAGCCCGCACCCCUCGAGCAGUAGCCUCGCUUUCCCUGAUGAAACUCUAGUACUGCCUCAUGUCCCUGACCCCUGACCUCCGAGCCCCCCUGCCCCCAAUAUCUGUCCUAGGGCCCCAGCCGUGCAGCCUCAGUAUUUCUUUGCACCUUUUUCUCUUUUCUUCCACCCGGCUCCCCCCAGGCACAUUCACUUCCGGCAUCAUCUCUGCUGUCCGUCUGUCCUCCAUCCUUCCGUCGUGAAGGGCCCGCCCACUUUCUGAGAGACAGACGCGGAGCCCAUGGGCAUCAGCUGAAAGGGCAGAUCCCGCUCGGGGCCAGCCUGUCUGUCACCUGCUCAGAGACGGCCCGGCUUGCCGCCAUCUAUGUCCGGGGCCACCUGGCCUUGGGCCAGUGUUCCCGCCUGGAGUCAUGCUUCAGACCCUGGUUUCGCCCUCAUGUCAAAGCUGGUGACAACAGUCCAAUCUUACAGAGUUCUCAUGAGAACCGAUGUCAGGUGCCCUCAUCUCUAGAAGUCCUUGCCCAGAAGACUGCUUGAGCUGUCUUGUCCCGUUUAGUCCUGAAAACCACCCUGUCAGGUAGAAAGUCACUGUCCAGCCCAUUUUGUAGAUGAAACCAGGGAGGCUCAGAGAAGUCAAGUCAUUGGCCCCAGGGCACACAGCUAUAAGGCAGCAGAGGCGAGGUUCAAGUGCACACCAGUUCACUCCAGAGCCUAAGCUUCUCACCGCUCUUCCCUUCUGGGUCCUCUUUCUUCGUGUCCUGUUCACUCAUUCGGCCACUGUCUAUGGUGCGCCUGCUUUCUGGGGCCGCGGUGGUGGCAGAUGAGGCCCUGCCCUGUCUGUGGAGAUGUACAGGAUCUCCUGUGGGCAACUGCUGUCUGCCCUGGGGGCUCAGGCCAGGCCAGCCCCUCCCCAUCUGGCUUCCCCACUGCUCCUUGAACCUAAAGGCCUGUGGGGUGCUGCAGUGGAUGUGAAAGAGGAAGCAGGUCACAGCAGGACCGCUGUGGGCAUCGGGAUCCUCGGGGGGGUGGGGGCAGUGCAGGCAUGAAAGGAAUGGGGUGCAGCCGGGUACCCCAGCCAGGCACCACUUCAUCCCCAGCAGAUGGCUGUCCCAAAAAAGAGGGGCAGUGACAAGUGUCUGGGGGGGGAGGAAUGGGAGCCCCUCCCACUGCUGGUGGGCAUGUCAGAUGGUGCUGGCAGUCCUUCAGCACGGGGUCACCAUGUGCCCUGGCGAUUCCACUCCUAGGUAUGCACCCAAGGGAAAGGAAAACACAUCCACAUGUGGAGUCCUGCUGUGGCACAAUGGGAUUGGCAGUGUCUCCAGAGUACAGGUUCGAUCCCUGGCCUGGCCCAGUACGUUAAGGAUCUGGGCAGCUCUGGCGUAGGUCACAACUAUGGCUCAGGUCUGCUCCCUGGCCCGGGAACUCCAUAUGCCACAGAGCAGCCAAAAAAACAACAAGCAAAUAAAACAUGUCCAUGCAAAAACUCAUCCUCAGACGUUCACAGCAGCAUUAUUCCUAACAGUCAAAAGAGAGAAACAACCAAAAUGUCCAUCAGCAAAUGUGUGGAUAAACAAACGGUGGUCUGUCCACACCAUGAAAUAUUACUCAGCCAUGAAAAGGAAUGAAGUCCUGACGUGGCCACAACGUGGAUACAUUUUGCAGACAUGGUGCUCAUUGAAAGAAGCCAGACACAAAAGGCCACGUAUUGCAUGGUUCCACUUCUAUAAAAUGUUCAGAAUAGGCAGAUCUAUAGACAAAGUAGAUGACUGGUUGCCAGGGACUGGAGGUGGGGGUUUGAGGGAAAACUGGGAAGCAGUGCAGGGUUUCUUUUGGGGUGAUAAAAAUAUUCUGAAAUUGAUGGUGGUGAUGGUUGCACUACAUUGAAAUACUGAAAACCUUUGAAUUGUAUAUUCUUUCUUUCUUUCUUUCUUUCUUUCUUUCUUUCCCUCCCUCCCUCCCUCCCUCCCUCCUUCCUUCCUUCCUUCCUUCUUUCUUUCUUUUUGGUCUUUUUUGGGUCACACCCACGGCAUAUGGAAGUUCCCAGGCCAGGGGUUGAAUCAGAGCUCUACCUGCCAGCCUACGUGCCACAGCCACAGCAACGCCAGAUCUGAGCUGAGUCUGCGACCUACACUGCAGCUGAUGGCAAUGUCGGAUCCUUAACCUACUGAGUGAAGGAAGGGAUUGAACCCGAGUCCUCAUGGAUACCAGUCCGGUUCGUUACCUCUGAGCCACAAUGGGAAAUGCAUUUUUUUUUCUUUUUUCUUUGGCCACACCCGCGGCAUGCAAAAGUUCCUGGGCCAGGGCUCGAACCCACAACACAUCAGUGACUGAGCCAUAGCAAGCAGUGGCAACACUGGAUCCUUCAUCUGCUUAGCCAUCAGGGAACUCCAAAUUGUAUACUUUAAAAUGGUACAUUGUAGGAGUUCCUGCCGUGGAGCAACAGAAUCAGUGGCAUCUCCGCAGCAUCAGGAUGCAGGUUCCAUCCCCAGCCCAGCACAGUGAGUUAAGGGUCCAGAGUUCCCCAAGCUGUGGCAUAGGUCAGAUCUGAUCCCUGGCCUGGGAACUCCAUAUGCCAAGGGGCGGCCAAAAAAGAAAAGAAAAAAGGAAAAUUGUAUACUGUGUGAAUUAUAUCUGAAUAAAACUUUUAUUAAAAAGUAUUAGGGCGUUCCCGUUGUGGCGCAGUGGUUAACAAAUCCGACUAGGAACCAUGAGGUUGCGGGUUCAGUCCCUGCCCUUGCUCAGUGGGUUAACGAUCUGGCGUUGCCGUGAGCUGAGGUGUAGGCUGCAGACUUGGCUCGGAUCCUGCGUUGCUGUGGCUCUGGCGUAGGCUGGCAGCUACAGCUCCGAUUAGAUCGCUAGCCUGGGAACCUCCAUAUGCCGUGGGAGCGGCCCAAGAAAUGGCAAAAAGACAAAAAAAAUAUUAGUAGGCCAGCGGCUACAGCUCCAAUUGGACCCCUCGCCUGGGAACCUCCAUAUGCCACAGGUACAGCCCUAGAAAGACAAAAUAUAUGUAUAUGUAUUUCUGAAGCCCAAGGAUUCAGAAACUGGCUGAGUGAUGGGACAUUCUUUGGGGUCACUUUGCUGUGGUUCUCAUGAUGGCUGAGAAGUGAUUCUGUAGAUAAGGUCUUCCUUCAUCCGUCAGUUAACCCCUCGGAGAGGCCCCACCCCCACGACCCUUCCUGUGUCACUUGUCCUCGGUGUCAGCCCCUUCUUUCCUUCCUUUAGAGCUGUUCCCACACUUGGAAUUGUAUUCUGUCCGUGGACCUGAUUUUUGUCUCAUUCUCGUGCUGGGCCAAGUUCCAUGAGGUCGGGGGGGCUUGUCUCUGUCUUGUUUGCCAUAUAGUAGGUGCUCUGUAAAUACCUGCUGUGCAAAUGGGCCACAUCACAACUGGGGGCGACUGGCCGGGGUCUGCGCUCGCUGCAGGGAGAGAGCCGGCAGGGUGGAUCAGGGUGUCUCCCGGCCCCAGUGGCUUUCUUUUCCUCUGUUCCAGUUCCAGGAGAAUGCCUCUGGAAAGGAAGCCCAAAGCCUGGUCUGGCUGGGAGGAGGCGAGCGGGGAGGGGCGCCGAGUGGGAGUGGGGGCCGGCGGGCCUGGGGAGGAAGUCUGCAGCCCCAGGCUGCCGAGGGUGCGGUGGCUGUGUUUGCACCUUUGGAAUGUGGCUGAUUCACUCUGGGGGGAGCCACGCAGCCACCGCUGCUGCCUUGGAUCCGACAUCUGGAGGCCGAAUUCCAGGAGGAGAGAGACAGAUCCUUGCACGCAGAUGCCAACUUGGAAGGUCGAACUGAGCGACGGAGCUGAGGAGGAGGAGGCUGAAAGGGUCGCGCACCGCCCCCCAGGAUUCUGGGAGAGGAGUGCCCCCUUCCCCAGCCUUGUCCCAGCCCCUGAGGGGACAGUGUCGGGGAGGCAGACUGAGCUCUGCAGACAGACCUUCAAAGACCAGUUGGUUAACAGCUGGUGCUAAGUGCCAAGGCCAGAGGCUGAGCUGGUCCAGUGUCUGCCGUGGCCCCGGGACACUGGCUUGCAUCUCCUUGCCCAGUGUCCUCUGUGUGGCUUUCCCCUCCAGCCAUUGCUCCCCAAGGCCCUUGAACUCCCAGCGUGCCUCUCCCUGGGGCUCCAACAAGACCCUAGGCUUGGGAGUUUUGUGGCGUGGUGGAAAUAAAUCCAGCUAGCAUCCAUGAGGUUGUGGGUUCGAUCCCUGGCCUUGCUCAGUGGGUUAAAGAUCUGGCAUUGCAGUGAGCUGUGGUGUCACAGGCCCAGCUCGGAAACUGCAACAGCUCCAAUUAGACCCCCAGCCUGGGAACCUCCAUUUGCCGCCGAGGGUGCUGCCCUAAAAAGACAAAAGACAAAAGACAAAAAAAAAAAAAAAAAAAAAA
RNAcentral lists this long non-coding RNA (4434 nucleotides) under Sus scrofa (pig). Its description in RNAcentral is "lncRNA (ENSSSCG00065033404.1)". Lineage: Eukaryota; Metazoa; Chordata; Mammalia; Artiodactyla; Suidae. The record is from RNAcentral.